RNAcentral lists this ribosomal RNA (253 nucleotides) under uncultured bacterium. RNAcentral's name for it is "partial 16S ribosomal RNA". It matches the Rfam family "Bacterial small subunit ribosomal RNA", at positions 524 to 776 of the family's 1533-position model. The record is from RNAcentral.
UACAGAGGGUGCGAGCGUUGUCCGGAAUCACUGGGCGUAAAGGGCGUGUAGGCGGGAAGGAUAGUCAGAUGUGAAAUCCCUGGGCUCAACCCAGGAACUGCAUUUGAAACUCCCUUUCUUGAGUGUCGGAGAGGAAAGCGGAAUUCCUGGUGUAGAGGUGAAAUUCGUAGAUAUCAGGAGGAACACCGGUGGCGAAGGCGGCUUUCUGGACGACAACUGACGCUGAGACGCGAAAGCGUGGGGAGCAAACAGG